UGUUUACUAUGAGCAGCAUCC
RNAcentral lists this non-coding RNA (21 nucleotides) under Caenorhabditis elegans. Lineage: Eukaryota; Metazoa; Nematoda; Chromadorea; Rhabditida; Rhabditidae. The record is from RNAcentral.